AGAGUGAACGCUGGCGGCAGGCCUAACACAUGCAAGUCGAGCGGCAGCGCGGGGCAACCUGGCGGCGAGCGGCGGACGGGUGAGGAAUGCAUCGGAAUCUACCCUGUCGUGGGGGAUAACGUAGGGAAACUUACGCUAAUACCGCAUACGACCGAGAGGUGAAAGUGGGGGACCGCAAGGCCUCACGCGAUUGGAUGAGCCGAUGCCGGAUUAGCUAGUUGGUGGGUAAAGGCCCACAAGGCGACGAUCCGUAGCUGGUCUGGGAGAUGAUCAGCCACAUUGGGACUGAGACACGGCCCAAACUCCUACGGGAGCAGCAGUGGGAAUAGUUGGACAAGUGGGACGCAAGCCUGGAUCCAGCCAUGCCGCGUGUGUGAAGAAGGUCCUUCGGUUAGUAAAGCUACGUUUUGUACGGAAGUAAAGUCGUAGGUACGGGUUAAUACCCGAGGUAACGGAUCGAACGGUAACCGAAAGAAUAAGCGACCGGACUAACUCGU
RNAcentral lists this ribosomal RNA (497 nucleotides) under uncultured soil bacterium. Its description in RNAcentral is "bacterial SSU rRNA". It matches the Rfam family "Bacterial small subunit ribosomal RNA", at positions 26 to 506 of the family's 1533-position model. The record is from RNAcentral.